AUGCAAGUCGAACGAAGUAGCAAUACUUAGUGGCAGACGGGUGAGUAACAUGUAGGUAUCUUCCCUUUGGUGAGGAAUAACACGAGGAAACUUGUGCUAAUACCUCAUAAGUCUUUACGGAGAAAGCUUUAUGCGCCGAAGGAUGAGCCUGCACUUGAUUAGCUUGUUGGUGGGGUAAUGGCUUAUCAAGACUUUGAUCAAUAGCUGAUCUGAGAGGAUGAUCAGCCACAUUGGGACUGAGACACGGCCCAAACUCCUACGGGAGGCAGCAGUAGGGAAUAUUGCACAAUGGAGGAAACUCUGAUGCAGCGAUGCCGCGUGAGUGAAGAAGGCCUUUGGGUUGUAAAGCUCUUUCGUCGGGGAAGAAAAUGACUGUACCCGAAUAAGAAGGUCCGGCUAACUUCGUGCCAGCAGCCGCGGUAAUACGAAGGGACCUAGCGUAGUUCGGAAAUUACUGGGCUUAAAGAGUUCGUAGGUUGUUAAAAAAGUUGGUGGUGAAAUCCCAGAGCUUAACUCUGGAACUGCCAUCAAAACUUUUUAGCUAGAGUAUGAUAGAGGAAAAGCAGAAUUUCUAGUGUAGAGGUGGAAUUCGUAGAUAUUAGAAAGAAUACCAAUUGCGAAGGCAGCUUUCUGGAUCAUUACUGAACACUGAGGAACGAAAGCAUGGGUAGCGAAGAAGAUUAGAUACCCUCGUAGUCCAUGCCGUAAACGAUGUGUGUUAGACGUUGGAAAUUUAUUUU
This 740-nucleotide ribosomal RNA is filed under the name uncultured marine bacterium. RNAcentral describes it as "bacterial SSU rRNA". It matches the Rfam family "Bacterial small subunit ribosomal RNA", at positions 55 to 840 of the family's 1533-position model. The record is from RNAcentral.